Molecule: ribosomal RNA, 506 nt
Filed under: uncultured bacterium
Lineage: Bacteria
Description: partial 16S ribosomal RNA
Rfam family: Bacterial small subunit ribosomal RNA
Source: RNAcentral
GAUGAACGCUAGCUACAGGCUUAACACAUGCAAGUCGAGGGGUAACGAGAGGAAAGCUUGCUUUCCUUGUCGACGACCGGCGCACGGGUGAGUAACGCGUAUCCAACCUGCCCCCAACUAAGGAAUAACCUUGCGAAAGUAAGACUAAUACCUUAUAAUUUCCUCAGAUGUCAUCUGACGAGGAAUAAAGAUUUAUCGGUAGUGGAUGGGGAUGCGUCUGAUUAGCUUGUUGGCGGGGUAACGGCCCACCAAGGCAACGAUCAGUAGGGGUUCUGAGAGGAAGGUCCCCCACAUUGGAACUGAGACACGGUCCAAACUCCUACGGGAGGCAGCAGUGAGGAACAUUGGUCAAUGGGCGAAAGCCUGAACCAGCCAAGUAGCGUGCAGGAUGACGGCCCUAUGGGUUGUAAACUGCUUUUAUACAGGAAUAAAGUUAGCCACGUGUGGUUAUUUGUAGGUACUGUAUGAAUAAGGACCGGCUAAUUCCGUGCCAGCCGCCGCAGUAA